UACGUAGGGAGCAAGCGUUAUCCGGAUUUACUGGGUGUAAAGGGCGCGUAGGCGGGAAUGCAAGUCAGAUGUGAAAUCUGGGGGCUCAACCCCCAAACUGCAUUUGAAACUGUAUUUCUUGAGUGAUGGAGAGGCAAGUGGAAUUCCUAGUGUAGCGGUGAAAUGCGUAGAUAUUAGGAGGAACACCAGUGGCGAAGGCGACUUGCUGGACAUUAACUGACGCUGAGGCGCGAAAGCGUGGGGAGCAAACAGG
This 253-nucleotide ribosomal RNA is filed under the name uncultured bacterium. RNAcentral's name for it is "partial 16S ribosomal RNA". It matches the Rfam family "Bacterial small subunit ribosomal RNA", at positions 524 to 776 of the family's 1533-position model. The record is from RNAcentral.